This 253-nucleotide unclassified non-coding RNA is filed under the name uncultured Verrucomicrobiota bacterium. Its description in RNAcentral is "uncultured Verrucomicrobia bacterium contains 16S-23S intergenic spacer region". It matches the Rfam family "Bacterial small subunit ribosomal RNA", at positions 524 to 776 of the family's 1533-position model. Lineage: Bacteria; Pseudomonadati; Verrucomicrobiota. The record is from RNAcentral.
CACAGAGGUCCCGAGCGUUGUUCGGAUUCACUGGGCGUAAAGGGUGCGUAGGUGGUUGGGUAAGUUUGAGGUGAAAGCUCCGAGCCUAACUCGGAAAAUGCCUUGAAGACUAUCUGACUAGAGGAUUGGAGGGGAGAUUGGAAUUCUCGGUGUAGCAGUGAAAUGCGUAGAUAUCGAGAGGAACACCAGUGGCGAAGGCGAAUCUCUGGACAAUUCCUGACACUGAGGCACGAAAGCCAAGGGAGCGAACGGG